This 638-nucleotide ribosomal RNA is filed under the name Dissophora globulifera. Its description in RNAcentral is "Mortierella globulifera partial large subunit ribosomal RNA". It matches the Rfam family "Eukaryotic large subunit ribosomal RNA", at positions 76 to 620 of the family's 3401-position model. The record is from RNAcentral. Lineage: Eukaryota; Fungi; Mortierellomycota; Mortierellomycetes; Mortierellales; Mortierellaceae.
UCCCCUAGUAACGGCGAGUGAAGCGGGAUGAGCUCAAAUUUAAAAUCUGGCUGGUUUACCAGUCCGAGUUGUAGUUUAAAGAAGCGUUUUCGGUGGCAGGCCGGGUAUAAAUCCUUUGGAACAGGGUAUCAUAGAGGGUGAGAAUCCCGUCUUUGACUCGGCUGAUGUUACUAUGUGAUACGUUUUCAAAGAGUCGAGUUGUUUGGGAAUGCAGCUCAAAAUGGGUGGUAAAUUUCAUCUAAGGCUAAAUAUUGGCGAGAGACCGAUAGCGAACAAGUACCGUGAGGGAAAGAUGAAAAGAACUUUGAAAAGAGAGUUAAACAGUGCGUGAAAUUGUUGAAAGGGAAACGUUUGACACCAGCUAUGUAGGCGGAAAAUCAGUCAAGCGCAGUGAGGGGCUGGUGUUUGUCCGGACCGCAAGGCCGGCGGAUAUCUCAUCUUUGCUGUGGGUGAUGCACUUUUUCGUUCGCAGGUCAACAUCAGUUUCGCUUGCUGGACAAAACCCCGAGAGAAGGUAGCAGCUUUGGCUGUGUUAUAGCUCUGGGGCGAUACAGUGGGUGGGACUGAGGAUUCGCAGUGUGUGCUCUCGGGCAAGGCUGACUGGGUGCUCUGGGGUCGUUUGGCGUACAAUGCUUGCA